AGUGAACGCUGGCGGUAGGCCUAACACAUGCAAGUCGAACGGCAGCACAGUAAGAGCUUGCUCUUACGGGUGGCGAGUGGCGGACGGGUGAGGAAUACAUCGGAAUCUACUUUUUCGUGGGGGAUAACGUAGGGAAACUUACGCUAAUACCGCAUACGACCUACGGGUGAAAGCAGGGGAUCUUCGGACCUUGCGCGAUUGAAUGAGCCGAUGUCGGAUUAGCUAGUUGGCGGGGUAAAGGCCCACCAAGGCGACGAUCCGUAGCUGGUCUGAGAGGAUGAUGGGCCAAACAGGAAAUGAGACACGGUCAAGACUCCUACGGGAGGCAGCAGUAGGGAAUCUUCCGCAAUGGGCGAAAGCCUGACGGAGCAACGCCGCGGGAGUGAUGAAGGUAUUCGGAUCGUAAAACUCUGUUAUUAGGGAAGAACAAAUGUGUAAGUAACUAUGCACGUCUUGAAGGUACCUAAUAAGAAAGCCACGGCUAACUACGUG
Molecule: ribosomal RNA, 492 nt
Filed under: uncultured bacterium
Lineage: Bacteria
Description: partial 16S ribosomal RNA
Rfam family: Bacterial small subunit ribosomal RNA
Source: RNAcentral